UACGAAGGACCCAAGCGUUAUCCGGAUUUAUUGGGUUUAAAGGGUGCGUAGGCGGGUUAUUAAGUCAGUGGUGAAAGCCUGCAGCUUAACUGCAGAAUUGCCAUUGAUACUGAUGAUCUUGAGUAUGAUUGAGGUGGGCGGAAUGUGUCAUGUAGCGGUGAAAUGCUUAGAUAUGACACAGAACACCGAUUGCGUAGGCAGCUAACUAGGCUGUAACUGACGCUGAGGCACGAAAGCGUGGGGAGCGAACAGG
This 253-nucleotide ribosomal RNA is filed under the name uncultured bacterium. Its description in RNAcentral is "partial 16S ribosomal RNA". It matches the Rfam family "Bacterial small subunit ribosomal RNA", at positions 524 to 776 of the family's 1533-position model. The record is from RNAcentral.